AUAGCGUAUAUUAAAGUUGUUGCAGUUAAAAAGCUCGUAGUUGGAUUUUGGAUUGGGCUUAACGGUCGGCCGUGAGGUUCGUACUGUUGUGCCCUUUCUUCUUCUCGAAGACCACGUGUGCUCUUAACUGAGUGUGCGUGGGGUUCGGGACUUUUACUGUGAGAAAAUUAGAGUGUUCAAAGCAGGCGUUUGCUUGAGUAUUGCAGCAUGGAAUAAUGGAAUAGGAUCACGAUCUUAUUUUGUUGGUUUCUAGGAUCGAGAUAAUGAUUAAUAGGGAUAGUUGGGGGCAUCCGUAUUCAAUUGUCAGAGGUGAAAUUCUUGGAUUUAUUGAAGACGAACCACUG
This 344-nucleotide ribosomal RNA is filed under the name uncultured eukaryote. RNAcentral describes it as "SSU rRNA". It matches the Rfam family "Eukaryotic small subunit ribosomal RNA", at positions 594 to 945 of the family's 1831-position model. The record is from RNAcentral.